Non-coding RNA from Dermatophagoides farinae (American house dust mite), 1295 nucleotides. The record is from RefSeq and is a predicted model, not a curated record. Lineage: Eukaryota; Metazoa; Arthropoda; Arachnida; Sarcoptiformes; Pyroglyphidae.
AAAAAACCAAGAGUAGCAGAUUGAGUAAAUCAAAUCUAGAAAGCAAGAAGAAAGCAGAAGAACUGAAAAAAUCAGCGUUGAUGAUCAUAGAAAUUGACUCAAUGAAUGAAUGAGGAUGUUUUCAUCGGAUAUGACCGUAAAAAAAAAAAAAAAAAUUGGGGUUAUUAAUCGUUAAAUUUGUUGUCGUUUAAUUUUUCAUUACAUUAACACAGCUUUAAUGCUACUGCUUUUGGAACAACCGAAAAUGAUGAAACAAAGUUCAUUAAAUAUUAACCGAAGCAAUAUUUUUCUGAUCCUGAUAAGAACAAUAAGAAACAUUCAUCCAUCCAUGACUAGAUUUUUGAAGAAUAAUAAUAAUUUUUCAAAUUCACACACGACGAAAAAAACAAAAACAGAACAGAAAAAAUCCAUCUUUCAUUCAUAUUCGAAUUCGAUUUGGACUCUACUCGAUUCUGGAAAUUCUUGUAUACUGCCCGUUUCUUUUCAAUCACCAUCAUCAUUAUCAUUAUUAUUUGUCAUCCAAUCUUUCGAUGAGUAAUUUUGUUCACAAAUACAUCAUCAAAAUGUACAUUCCUCUUUGUAUUUUGAUUCAUUUCAAACUUUUUUUUCAACGACAACAACGACCAAAAGAAUAUCGAUUUUUCGUGAGCAAUUUUUGCUACAAAAUCACCAACACCGAAUGAAUACAAUUCAUAUUCAUUCAGGCGAAUAACAUGGAUUGUAUGUACGAAUGAAGUAGAAUUUGUUAUUGUCAUCAUCAAUGGAUGUUGAUUUUUUGGAAUUCAAAUAGAGAAUCGUAUCAUCGAUAAAUACGAUGAUGAUGGACAUUAUAUCCAUAUGGCAUGACUUCAAUGAGUUAUCUAUGCAGAUAGAUGGUGGUUUGAAAACGAAAAUUGACGGUUAGCCGGAUGAGAUACAAUUUCAAUCAAAAACGAAAAACAAUAUUGAUCCAGUAAAAGCAGUCCAAGUCGAUCGUUGUUUUUUCUGCAAUUUCGCCAUUGUUUUGUUUUUUCUUCUAUUCGAGUUUUUGAAAUGCUGAAAAUGUAAUUCUUGUUCGAGAAAGAAAAAACCGGUCUCCAGCAUCACAUGAUGAACCAUCGAUUUUAAAAACAUUCAUCGAUCCACAAUCGAUUUGAAAAAGAGACCAAGAAAAGAAUAACGAGAACGCAUGAAGAGCAAACCAUUGAAAGUUUUUGACACCAUUUUUCAAGAGCGAAAAUUACGACGAUCGAACACCAAUCAUCAACAUCAAUUUUUGAUGAUCGUUUGUGAAAAAAAUAAUGAAUCAUGGGUUU